UACCAGCUGGCUGCAACUGUUUAUUAAAAACACAGCACUGUGCAAACACGAAAGUGGACGUAUACGGUGUGACGCCUGCCCGGUGCCGGAAGGUUAAUUGAUGGGGUCAGCGCAAGCGAAGCUCCUGAUCGAAGCCCCGGUAAACGGCGGCCGUAACUAUAACGGUCCUAAGGUAGCGAAAUUCCUUGUCGGGUAAGUUCCGACCUGCACGAAUGGCGUAAUGAUGGCCAGGCUGUCUCCACCCGAGACUCAGUGAAAUUGAACUCGCUGUGAAGAUGCAGUGUACCCGCGGCAAGACGGAAAGACCCCGUGAACCUUUACUAUAGCUUGACACUGAACAUUGAGCCUUGAUGUGUAGGAUAGGUGGGAGGCUUUGAAGUGUGGACGCCAGUCUGCAUGGAGCCGACCUUGAAAUACCACCCUUUAAUGUUUGAUGUUCUAACGUGGACCCGUAAUCCGGGUUGCGGACAGUGUCUGGUGGGUAGUUUGACUGGGGCGGUCUCCUCCUAAAGAGUAACGGAGGAGCACGAAGGUUGGCUAAUCCUGGUCGGACAUCAGGAGGUUAGUGCAAUGGCAUAAGCCAGCUUGACUGCGAGCGUGACGGCGCGAGCAGGUGCGAAAGCAGGUCAUAGUGAUCCGGUGGUUCUGAAUGGAAGGGCCAUCGCUCAACGGAUAAAAGGUACUCCGGGGAUAACAGGCUGAUACCGCCCAAGAGUUCAUAUCGACGGCGGUGUUUGGCACCUCGAUGUCGGCUCAUCACAUCCUGGGGCUGAAGUAGGUCCCAAGGGUAUGGCUGUUCGCCAUUUAAAGUGGUACGCGAGCUGGGUUUAGAACGUCGUGAGACAGUUCGGUCCCUAUCUGCCGUGGGCGCUGGAGAACUGAGGGGGGCUGCUCCUAGUACGAGAGGACCGGAGUGGACGCAUCACUGGUGUUCGGGUUGUCAUGCCAAUGGCACUGCCCGGUAGCUAAAUGCGGAAGAGAUAAGUGCUGAAAGCAUCUAAGCACGAAACUUGCCCCGAGAUGAGUUCUCCCUGAGACUUUAGGUCUCCUGAAGGAACGUUGAAGACGACGACGUUGAUAGGCCGGGUGUGUAAGCGCAGCGAUGCGUUGAGCUAACCGGUACUAAUGAACCGUGAGGCUUAACCUUAC
This 1149-nucleotide ribosomal RNA is filed under the name Salmonella enterica subsp. enterica serovar Mikawasima. RNAcentral describes it as "partial 23S ribosomal RNA". It matches the Rfam family "Bacterial large subunit ribosomal RNA", at positions 1783 to 2925 of the family's 2925-position model. Lineage: Bacteria; Pseudomonadati; Pseudomonadota; Gammaproteobacteria; Enterobacterales; Enterobacteriaceae. The record is from RNAcentral.